Molecule: ribosomal RNA, 2904 nt
Filed under: Escherichia coli
Lineage: Bacteria; Pseudomonadati; Pseudomonadota; Gammaproteobacteria; Enterobacterales; Enterobacteriaceae
Description: 23S ribosomal RNA
Rfam family: Bacterial large subunit ribosomal RNA
Source: RNAcentral
GGUUAAGCGACUAAGCGUACACGGUGGAUGCCCUGGCAGUCAGAGGCGAUGAAGGACGUGCUAAUCUGCGAUAAGCGUCGGUAAGGUGAUAUGAACCGUUAUAACCGGCGAUUUCCGAAUGGGGAAACCCAGUGUGUUUCGACACACUAUCAUUAACUGAAUCCAUAGGUUAAUGAGGCGAACCGGGGGAACUGAAACAUCUAAGUACCCCGAGGAAAAGAAAUCAACCGAGAUUCCCCCAGUAGCGGCGAGCGAACGGGGAGCAGCCCAGAGCCUGAAUCAGUGUGUGUGUUAGUGGAAGCGUCUGGAAAGGCGCGCGAUACAGGGUGACAGCCCCGUACACAAAAAUGCACAUGCUGUGAGCUCGAUGAGUAGGGCGGGACACGUGGUAUCCUGUCUGAAUAUGGGGGGACCAUCCUCCAAGGCUAAAUACUCCUGACUGACCGAUAGUGAACCAGUACCGUGAGGGAAAGGCGAAAAGAACCCCGGCGAGGGGAGUGAAAAAGAACCUGAAACCGUGUACGUACAAGCAGUGGGAGCACGCUUAGGCGUGUGACUGCGUACCUUUUGUAUAAUGGGUCAGCGACUUAUAUUCUGUAGCAAGGUUAACCGAAUAGGGGAGCCGAAGGGAAACCGAGUCUUAACUGGGCGUUAAGUUGCAGGGUAUAGACCCGAAACCCGGUGAUCUAGCCAUGGGCAGGUUGAAGGUUGGGUAACACUAACUGGAGGACCGAACCGACUAAUGUUGAAAAAUUAGCGGAUGACUUGUGGCUGGGGGUGAAAGGCCAAUCAAACCGGGAGAUAGCUGGUUCUCCCCGAAAGCUAUUUAGGUAGCGCCUCGUGAAUUCAUCUCCGGGGGUAGAGCACUGUUUCGGCAAGGGGGUCAUCCCGACUUACCAACCCGAUGCAAACUGCGAAUACCGGAGAAUGUUAUCACGGGAGACACACGGCGGGUGCUAACGUCCGUCGUGAAGAGGGAAACAACCCAGACCGCCAGCUAAGGUCCCAAAGUCAUGGUUAAGUGGGAAACGAUGUGGGAAGGCCCAGACAGCCAGGAUGUUGGCUUAGAAGCAGCCAUCAUUUAAAGAAAGCGUAAUAGCUCACUGGUCGAGUCGGCCUGCGCGGAAGAUGUAACGGGGCUAAACCAUGCACCGAAGCUGCGGCAGCGACGCUGAUGCGUUGUUGGGUAGGGGAGCGUUCUGUAAGCCUGUGAAGGUGUGCUGUGAGGCAUGCUGGAGGUAUCAGAAGUGCGAAUGCUGACAUAAGUAACGAUAAAGCGGGUGAAAAGCCCGCUCGCCGGAAGACCAAGGGUUCCUGUCCAACGUUAAUCGGGGCAGGGUGAGUCGACCCCUAAGGCGAGGCCGAAAGGCGUAGUCGAUGGGAAACAGGUUAAUAUUCCUGUACUUGGUGUUACUGCGAAGGGGGGACGGAGAAGGCUAUGUUGGCCGGGCGACGGUUGUCCCGGUUUAAGCGUGUAGGCUGGUUUUCCAGGCAAAUCCGGAAAAUCAAGGCUGAGGCGUGAUGACGAGGCACUACGGUGCUGAAGCAACAAAUGCCCUGCUUCCAGGAAAAGCCUCUAAGCAUCAGGUAACAUCAAAUCGUACCCCAAACCGACACAGGUGGUCAGGUAGAGAAUACCAAGGCGCUUGAGAGAACUCGGGUGAAGGAACUAGGCAAAAUGGUGCCGUAACUUCGGGAGAAGGCACGCUGAUAUGUAGGUGAAGUCCCUUGCGGAUGGAGCUGAAAUCAGUCGAAGAUACCAGCUGGCUGCAACUGUUUAUUAAAAACACAGCACUGUGCAAACACGAAAGUGGACGUAUACGGUGUGACGCCUGCCCGGUGCCGGAAGGUUAAUUGAUGGGGUCAGCGCAAGCGAAGCUCUUGAUCGAAGCCCCGGUAAACGGCGGCCGUAACUAUAACGGUCCUAAGGUAGCGAAAUUCCUUGUCGGGUAAGUUCCGACCUGCACGAAUGGCGUAAUGAUGGCCAGGCUGUCUCCACCCGAGACUCAGUGAAAUUGAACUCGCUGUGAAGAUGCAGUGUACCCGCGGCAAGACGGAAAGACCCCGUGAACCUUUACUAUAGCUUGACACUGAACAUUGAGCCUUGAUGUGUAGGAUAGGUGGGAGGCUUUGAAGUGUGGACGCCAGUCUGCAUGGAGCCGACCUUGAAAUACCACCCUUUAAUGUUUGAUGUUCUAACGUUGACCCGUAAUCCGGGUUGCGGACAGUGUCUGGUGGGUAGUUUGACUGGGGCGGUCUCCUCCUAAAGAGUAACGGAGGAGCACGAAGGUUGGCUAAUCCUGGUCGGACAUCAGGAGGUUAGUGCAAUGGCAUAAGCCAGCUUGACUGCGAGCGUGACGGCGCGAGCAGGUGCGAAAGCAGGUCAUAGUGAUCCGGUGGUUCUGAAUGGAAGGGCCAUCGCUCAACGGAUAAAAGGUACUCCGGGGAUAACAGGCUGAUACCGCCCAAGAGUUCAUAUCGACGGCGGUGUUUGGCACCUCGAUGUCGGCUCAUCACAUCCUGGGGCUGAAGUAGGUCCCAAGGGUAUGGCUGUUCGCCAUUUAAAGUGGUACGCGAGCUGGGUUUAGAACGUCGUGAGACAGUUCGGUCCCUAUCUGCCGUGGGCGCUGGAGAACUGAGGGGGGCUGCUCCUAGUACGAGAGGACCGGAGUGGACGCAUCACUGGUGUUCGGGUUGUCAUGCCAAUGGCACUGCCCGGUAGCUAAAUGCGGAAGAGAUAAGUGCUGAAAGCAUCUAAGCACGAAACUUGCCCCGAGAUGAGUUCUCCCUGACUCCUUGAGAGUCCUGAAGGAACGUUGAAGACGACGACGUUGAUAGGCCGGGUGUGUAAGCGCAGCGAUGCGUUGAGCUAACCGGUACUAAUGAACCGUGAGGCUUAACCUU